Molecule: non-coding RNA, 27 nt
Filed under: Rattus norvegicus (Norway rat)
Lineage: Eukaryota; Metazoa; Chordata; Mammalia; Rodentia; Muridae
Source: RNAcentral
UAGACCUGUGUUUCUCUAAUGCCUCCC